This 253-nucleotide ribosomal RNA is filed under the name uncultured bacterium. RNAcentral's name for it is "partial 16S ribosomal RNA". It matches the Rfam family "Bacterial small subunit ribosomal RNA", at positions 524 to 776 of the family's 1533-position model. The record is from RNAcentral.
UACGUAGGGGGCAAGCGUUGUCCGGAUUUAUUGGGCGUAAAGAGCGUGUAGGCGGCCAGACAGGUCCGUUGUGAAAACUCGAGGCUCAACCUCGAGAUGUCGAUGGAAACCGUCUGGCUAGAGUCCGGAAGAGGAGUGUGGAAUUCCUGGUGUAGCGGUGAAAUGCGCAGAUAUCAGGAAGAACACCUAUGGCGAAGGCAGCACUCUGGGCCGAUACUGACGCUGAGGCGCGAAAGCGUGGGGAGCAAACAGG